CCUACGGGAGGCAGCAGUGGGGAAUUUUGGACAAUGGACGCAAGUCUGAUCCAGCCAUUCCGCGUGCAGGACGAAGGCCUUCGGGUUGUAAACUGCUUUUGUACGGAACGAAAAAGCUCUUAUUAAUACUAGGAGUCCAUGACGGUACCGUAAGAAUAAGCACCGGCUAACUACGUGCCAGCAGCCGCGGUAAUACGUAGGGUGCAAGCGUUAAUCGGAAUUACUGGGCGUAAAGCGUGCGCAGGCGGUUAUAUAAGACAGAUGUGAAAUCCCCGAGCUUAACUUGGGAACUGCAUUUGUGACUGUAUAGCUAGAGUACGGCAGAGGGGGAUGGAAUUCCGCGUGUAGCAGUGAAAUGCGUAGAUAUGCGGAGGAACACCGAUGGCGAAGGCAAUCCCCUGGGCCUGUACUGACGCUCAUGCACGAAGACGGUGGGGAGGACGAACGAGAGUAGUAGUACCGUACGGUACGGUACCGUACCGACCCGUAACCGUAACGUACGUACGUAACUACGGUUAGGUUUGGGUUUCGGUUUCGUUACCGUACGUACGUACUACGUAACGUAACGUAACGUAACCGUACCGUCGGUAGGUUAGGUACCGGCCGGUCGGGUACGGGUAACGGGUACCGGUCCGUUACGGUUAGGUAACGUUAACGUUAACGGAAGUUAGUUAGGCGUGAGAGNGCGACGGACGACGACGAGGAGGAGG
Molecule: ribosomal RNA, 710 nt
Filed under: uncultured bacterium
Lineage: Bacteria
Description: bacterial SSU rRNA
Rfam family: Bacterial small subunit ribosomal RNA (bases 1-504)
Source: RNAcentral